This 3045-nucleotide long non-coding RNA is filed under the name Triticum aestivum (bread wheat). RNAcentral describes it as "long non-coding RNA (TAES_LNC018244)". The record is from RNAcentral. Lineage: Eukaryota; Viridiplantae; Streptophyta; Magnoliopsida; Poales; Poaceae.
AGAGACAUCUCAUCCAUUUGUAAAACUUAAAACAAUGAUAGCAUCAUAGUAGAAACUAUUGUUGUGCAUUCCAUAGAAAAAACAUAAAAUGUGGGUUUACACAUAAUCUUAUUUUCUAUAAUAAAAAGCGGAACAAUUUUGUGCAGCAUACUGCUAUUUAUUUUGGGCUGUCAUUCACGACAGUAUACCUAGGCACCUCUGAUUAUUAUUAUUUUUGCCUUCUCUGAUGCGCAACUAUGCAUGCUUCUGCAUUAUGUAAAGCUUAGGCUGCAAGCUGACUGCGAGAUGGAGAAGCAGAAAACAUCAUAAUAACCGGAGAGCCAGCUGUGUGAUGCAUAAGAUGGAGAUGAAGGGAGACUUCAGCAUCACCAUGACCGCAAGGUUGAUUUAUCUGCAAGCCACUAUAAGAUUGAGAUUCAAAGAAUAAUAAUAAGGGGCCAUUAGAGUUUAAAGUAGAAGUAAAUUAACUGACACAUGUUUAAGCGUGGGUCUACCUGUGAUUGCUGCAACGAAUCCAAUAUAAUUUGUUGCACAAAAGGGUCAACCAUAACUAAGAACCAGUACUUUGAAGGCGAGGUAGCAAUUAUGAGCAAUUGAAAUUGAGAUAGAAAAAAUAGCAACUGAGGAACAUCGGGAAGAGAGGUUGACUCCAUCGAGAUUGCUAUGAGAGAGUGCGCGGAGGCUGUACCUUGAAGCAUAAGCACCUUGAUCAGGAGGCUUCGGCCCCAUGAAGCGCAGUCCAACGGAAGCACCGCUGAGCAUGUGCUGUAAAAUCAGGUUUUGCACAAACACAAUGUAUUAAGGAAAAUUAGAUCAAUCGCUAGACCUUAAUUGAUUUUUUUAGAUCUGUGCUGUCUACCUAGAUAGUCGUUACACACUUGUAUUUGUGGUAUUUGGAGUAAGCUUGUGACACCAGGAAACUCUUCACGUGCCUAAAAGCAAAUAAAUGGGAAAAGUAGCAUGAGAAUGUUCAACAAAAAGAUUUAUCUUCACAAUUUCUAUCUAUUCGUAAUCUCCAGCACACUAUGAAGUUUCAGUGAUUUGUUGUCGACCAAACAGAAGUAACUCGAGAAUAAUCGAUUAAUGCAUCCAUAGUUUGUGCUCUUUACCUAAAAUCUACAUGGAACAAUUACAGAGGGAAGUGUAGAAGAACUAUUGUGGAACUUCAACAAAAAAGGAAGCGAGCCAACAUGCUUUGCUGUAAAAGAUUUAAAUUUGCAUAUACCUUCAGAUUGGAGCGUGCCUGGGAAGUACUCUUCAGUAAGAAGGUUCUAGUCUGAAACAUAAAUUUGCAUAUAGUUAGAAACUGAAUAGUAAUCUUCCCACAAACACUCAGAAACUGAAACAUAAAUUUGCAUGUAGCCACAAACUGAAUAGUAAUCUUCCCACAAAUGCUCAGAAACGCAUAUAGUCAGAAACUAAAUAGUAAUCUUCCCAUGUGUAUACCACAACGAAAAAAAUAGCGCGCUAUAACGACGCUAUAGCGCAGUUAUAGCGUAUUCAGAAGGAAACGCUAUAUUUUAGCAAAUUCAGCCGCUAUGACGCUAUUCACGUAAUUAGCGCGCUACAGGGCGUUAUAACGUUGUAGCGUGUAGCGUUAUAGCGUUCAAAUGAUGAAAAAUAUCAGAAAAAUAGGGAAGGACAGGUUUAUUUUGUGGUUAUUGCACGGUAGAUGUAGGCUAGGUGCUCAGUGUUCAGACUUAAUAUAUGUUAAAUAGAUUGACUAUAGUUUGACAUUCAGUUUAAAAUUUGUGCUUCCUAUUUGGCUAGAUUAUGUCUAUCUACGAUGGUGUCUUAAGGUACUGAAAUACUUUAUUUGUGGAUAUAUUUAGCAUUUUGUGCAAACGCUAUUCUGAAAUAUAGCACGCUAUUAGCGCGCUAUAACUUGUGUAGCAUUUUGAGAAGGGGCUCGCUAUAUUUUGUAGCGCGCUAUUUUUUUCAUUGGUAUACCAUCUAAUAAAAUUACUCAGAAACUGUAACUUGCAUCUACCUUCAGAUUGGAGAGUGUGUGGGAGGUAAUCUUCAGUAAGAAAACAACAGCUCGAUCCCAAGGCAGCCGAGAAGAAACCUGAAGAAUUUAAAUGCAUGGCUACAUAUUCAAUCAAGCAAAAUUAAAAUCCGAAUUGGAAUAGGGAAAGAAUUAAAAUGCAAGGUUGUGUAUUCAAUGAAACAAAUGAAUAUCAAUCAAACAUCCAGAAUAGAGAAAGAACAAAAAUUGAAAGCUAUGUAUUCAAUCAAGCAAAAUUAUAUGUACAUAUCAAGGAAACACACAAAAAUUCAGAAUUAGUGAUGGACGGGGACAUUAUGUGCCAAUAGGACCGAUAAACCUGAGGCGCCUAGGUAUGCAGAGAGUGAAGAAUAACCAAGAUGACUGACAUAGGGAAUGGCUAGGAGAGAGGAGAGAAUUCAUCCGUCCAUAUGGGAGGACGAUUGGAAUAAAAUGAGUGGGGCAGCAACUUUAAAAGGGAACCCAUCAGUUUCUUGUGGACAUCGUGGGGAGAGGAAGCGGAGCGUCGACCAUCAAUUACCUGCAGCAGAUUUUUUUGUAGGAGGUAGUUAUGGAAACGGAGAAGAUAAACAAUGUGGGCCAUUUCAAGCAUUUGGGCUGCACAGCAGUUGAAGCAACAGGCUAUGUACGGCUCGUGUGAGCAAAGGAAAAAAAAAGAGAGUGAAGAACAACAGGAUAACAUGAGCUUCAGCUGUACACCGUAGAUCGCCGUCCUCGUCCAGUUAAGCUAGCAAGCACCGAGCAACCAGCAAGCGGCAAGAAACGUACGAAUAUUAGAUCAGAAACACCAAACAUACGUACCUUGCGGAAUUGAUGGCGGCGCCGAGGAGGCAGAGGGAGGCCAGCGAGGUUCUCAUUCCCGAGGUCAUCCCGCUAGAACAGGGGCCGCCGCAGGGACGGCUGCUUCUGAUGCGUCCUAGGCCGCCGGCCCGCCGCUACGAGGAGAGCCCGGAGCAGACCAGUAGCAUGCGCACAUGCUGAACCGGCUGGACAGAAAUGGCUUGGAGUCUUAAUGGCGGCGGCAAGGAGGCGGGGCA